Molecule: long non-coding RNA, 465 nt
Filed under: Gallus gallus (chicken)
Lineage: Eukaryota; Metazoa; Chordata; Aves; Galliformes; Phasianidae
Description: lncRNA (ENSGALG00010017244.1)
Source: RNAcentral
GUGGAGGUGAAGGUGUUUGGUUGGAGCUCCCUAUGUACCUGAGGCCUUUCAAAGAAUUUGCAGGUGACUGAAGACGGUCAAGUUAUUGGUCCCACUGCAGACAGAAGCACACAACUCUGCUGUCUAUGAAACAUCGGCAUGGUACUCUUGUAAUGGAGGAAGGAUUGACUGAUAUUAGAACAUCUAAGAUGACAGGUCCAGAGAAGGAUUUGCCAAAGGAAUCUGGUGGUAACCAGUCAGGUAAAUUAGGAAAUAUUCCCAUCACUAAAAUGUAAUUCAGCAGAUUGUUUCCAUGUUUCUUCCUGAUACCAAACUCUCCUUACAAUGGUGGAUUCUCAAGCAGCAUGAGCACUUAAAGUUGCUCAUUUAAUGAGUUACAUGAAAUCAGAACCAACUGGUUGGUCUGAUUUCUGAGUGGUCCUGUGUGGGGCCAGGUGUUGGAAUUGGUGAUACACUUCCCUUCCA